Danaus plexippus (monarch butterfly) is the source of this 1988-nucleotide long non-coding RNA. RefSeq lists it as uncharacterized. The record is from RefSeq and is a predicted model, not a curated record. NCBI's taxonomy places the organism in Eukaryota, Metazoa, Arthropoda, Insecta, Lepidoptera, Nymphalidae. The transcript is spliced from 3 exons.
CAGGGCGACGACGUGGUCGUUGCCAAUAGUACAAGGUCAAAAGAAUAUUUACACGGAUCGGAUUGUCAUGUGAAUUAACAAUUAUAUAGCUAUUAUGAAUCUUUUAUAUGCGAGUUUUCUGUAAUUCAUUUUGUUCUGUAAUAAUAAUAGUCAUAGUAAAAGACGUUUCUAACGUUUUCUGUUUGCUGGGUGUGCUUCAUACAUUCGUUUCAAUGACAAAGCUUUGACGUCACCGAGGGAAUAAUUGGAGUACAUAAAAUUCUAACAAUGGCACAUCGAAAUAAUACACGGAAUUAUACCAAGAAUCAAACAAGCGCCCGUAUGCCGUGAGCGUGUAGUGACAUAGGCCACUUACUAGAUUGCGUCAACCGUCUGUAGUGGUGCGAUUGCAGCAUGCAGUUGGAACUAGAAUAGCGCGUAUUCUGCUCGUGCUUGAGCGAGGCUGCAUUCUGUUGCGGCAUCAGCACCGACACGUUACUCAGCGAUGGUAUGUUCAACUGGUUUCCGUGGCCGUGGUUCGUAUGGCUGCCGUGGUUCGAGUGAUUGCCAUGGCUGGCGUGAUUUAAAUGGCUAGUGUGAUGGCCAACCGCAUGCGACGCAGUCCCGAGUUGCAUUCCAAGCGAUGUUUGUAAACGAUGUGUCAAAUCCAGGGCAUUUUGUUGUCCACCGUGAAUCCCGCAGCCGUGCGUCACAGUGCUCAAUGAACUGUUACCACCUCUCAGAGCGACCAUCUUAAUUUCAUAAUAUAAAUUCUUCAAAAAUUGUAUUAGCCAGAUAUUGAACCAUUCCCAGAACAAUGGAGACACGGUCACCGGCAUGUGGCGAUCUCUACAUUAUAUUCUCAUACUAUUAUAAAUAUAACAUGUAUAUAAUUAUUAUUGCUUCAGGUUGACAUUUCAAAAAGUGCUAUAAAAUGUUUCUUGUGUAUUUCGAGGUGAGGAAAUAAGCACCAUAAAAUAUUAAAAACACUAAACUAUAAUCGUGGUUUUCUCUGACACCCGUAAAUGUAAGGCAUAAUGUUAAAAUACUUCUAAUCCGCAUUCACAAUUUAAAUAGUAAUUUAAUGCAGCAUAGCGAAAAUCGAUAAGGAAACGGCGCGGCACAUGGCUAACCGUUCGCGCUGAAAUUAUUACAACCAAAACACUUUCACGUUUUUAACUCUUAUUAUAACUAACUUGUGCGCACUGAUAUACUACUAUUUACUUAUUAAAAAUUAUAUUUUAUUCGUGAUAUAGACUAAGGAAUGGAAAAUGGCGUGAUCAGUAUAGAGCCCGUUGAACAUCUCAUUUCGUGACAUGCGAAGGGCUGAGAGCGCAUGAAAGAGACAAAGGUAUAUAGUAAUCCGUAGUUUCGAAUUGGGGGCGUUACCGAAAGCAGACUUGCCACCCUCAUGCGAGUCUGUCGUGAAAAUAAUCGAAUGAAAGCUACUGUGAUAUCGAUACACAAUGCAGCAAGCUUUCCUCUAACCAUUGAAAUUAUUGAGUUCUAAAUCAGUUUUUAAUAUGUGUAGCAUCAAAAUUAAAAAAACUCGAACUAUUGUUUAUGACCAAAGUAAAUCUUCUUUUAAACUGACAUCGAAAUGUCGAUUCGAUAACUCGUUACUAGAGACGUGUUCCAACUCUAGCUGGAAAGGCUUAGUUGUUUAUUAUCAUUUAUUAUUUUUAUUGCAACAUAAAUUUAAUACAUUUAACUAUGAAAAAAGCUAUAAUUCUAAAAUCUCCCUAAUGACAUUUGCAUAAAAAGUGUAAGGGUAGUGGUACGAGUACGUACGAGUUUGCCACAAUUAAAGGAAAGCUCUAGAAGCGAAUUGGGACAUUGAUUGACGAUCAAGGAAUAUUUAUAUUGAAUCGGACAACAACACUCAAUAUGAAUUUAUUCAAAUAUAUUGGGCUUAAGCAUGAGCAUCGAAACCAAAAAGAAGGGUCGGCAAGGAUUGGAGCAGAACAAUGGAUGAAAUACGUUAGCCACGUCUUAAAGGAAGAAAAGUU